UAGACUAAAGCUAGUUUAUUAAAGCAUUUAGCUGUUAACUAAAGAUUUGUGGGUUAAAGUCCUGCUAGCCUAG
RNAcentral lists this transfer RNA (73 nucleotides) under Siren intermedia (lesser siren). RNAcentral describes it as "tRNA-Asn". It matches the Rfam family "tRNA". From Rfam's summary of the family: Transfer RNA (tRNA) molecules are approximately 80 nucleotides in length. Their secondary structure includes four short double-helical elements and three loops (D, anti-codon, and T loops). The record is from RNAcentral. Lineage: Eukaryota; Metazoa; Chordata; Amphibia; Caudata; Sirenidae.